RNAcentral lists this unclassified non-coding RNA (425 nucleotides) under soil metagenome. RNAcentral's name for it is "partial contains 5.8S ribosomal RNA, internal transcribed spacer 2, and large subunit ribosomal RNA". The stretch from base 1 to 120 matches the Rfam family "5.8S ribosomal RNA", at positions 35 to 154 of the family's 154-position model. The record is from RNAcentral.
GAUGAAGAACGUAGCGAAAUGCGAUAAGUAGUGUGAAUUGCAGAAUUCCGUGAAUCAUCGAAUCUUUGAACGCACAUUGCGCCUUCUGGUAUUCCGGAAGGCAUGCCUGUUCGAGAGUCAUUAACAACCGUUUCGAUCCCUUUCUUUCAGAAAUUACAAAGAGGAAAAGGGUUUGGUUAUGGUGGAGGAGGGAAAGGGAGCGUUUAGCCUGUAAAAAAAGAGGCUGUGUUCCGCCUCCCCCCCAAAAUUGUACAGGCGGUCGUGUGCGCCCACGCAUCGAGGUGUUGUAAAAGCUGCCACGGCACUUUUCACCUGUGCAGUGCGAGAUUGGCCAGCCGGUUUAAAAACCCCUCCAAACAAUCAAAGGUUGACCUCGGAUCAGGUAGGGAUACCCGCUGAACUUAAGAAUAUCAAUAAGCGGAGGA